CAGGACGAACGCUGGCGGCGUGCCUAAUACAUGCAAGUCGAGCGGACAGAAGGGAGCUUGCUCCCGGAUGUUAGCGGCGGACGGGUGAGUAACACGUGGGUAACCUGCCUGUAAGACUGGGAUAACUCCGGGAAACCGGAGCUAAUACCGGAUAGUUCCUUGAACCGCAUGGUUCAAGGAUGAAAGACGGUUUCGGCUGUCACUUACAGAUGGACCCGCGGCGCAUUAGCUAGUUGGUGAGGUAACGGCUCACCAAGGCGACGAUGCGUAGCCGACCUGAGAGGGUGAUCGGCCACACUGGGACUGAGACACGGCCCAGACUCCUACGGGAGGCAGCAGUAGGGAAUCUUCCGCAAUGGACGAAAGUCUGACGGAGCAACGCCGCGUGAGUGAUGAAGGUUUUCGGAUCGUAAAGCUCUGUUGUUAGGGAAGAACAAGUGCAAGAGUAACUGCUUGCACCUUGACGGUACCUAACCAGAAAGCCACGGCUAACUACGUGCCAGCAGCCGCGGUAAUACGUAGGUGGCAAGCGUUGUCCGGAAUUAUUGGGCGUAAAGGGCUCGCAGGCGGUUUCUUAAGUCUGAUGUGAAAGCCCCCGGCUCAACCGGGGAGGGUCAUUGGAAACUGGGAAACUUGAGUGCAGAAGAGGAGAGUGGAAUUCCACGUGUAGCGGUGAAAUGCGUAGAGAUGUGGAGGAACACCAGUGGCGAAGGCGACUCUCUGGUCUGUAACUGACGCUGAGGAGCGAAAGCGUGGGGA
This 759-nucleotide ribosomal RNA is filed under the name Bacillus stratosphericus. RNAcentral describes it as "bacterial SSU rRNA". It matches the Rfam family "Bacterial small subunit ribosomal RNA", at positions 25 to 767 of the family's 1533-position model. The record is from RNAcentral. Lineage: Bacteria; Bacillati; Bacillota; Bacilli; Caryophanales; Bacillaceae.